Molecule: ribosomal RNA, 494 nt
Filed under: uncultured bacterium
Lineage: Bacteria
Description: bacterial SSU rRNA
Rfam family: Bacterial small subunit ribosomal RNA
Source: RNAcentral
AUUGAACGCUGGCGGCAGGCCUAACACAUGCAAGUCGAGCGGAUGAAGGUAGCUUGCUACCUGAUUCAGCGGCGGACGGGUGAGUAAUGCCUAGGAAUCUGCCUGGUAGUGGGGGACAACGUUUCGAAAGGAACGCUAAUACCGCAUACGUCCUACGGGAGAAAGUGGGGGAUCUUCGGACCUCACGCUAUCAGAUGAGCCUAGGUACGAUUAGCUAGUUGGUGAGGUAAAGGCUCACCAAGGCGACGAUCGUUAACUGGUCUGAGAGGAUGAUCAGUCACACUGGAACUGAGACACGGUCCAGACUCCUACGGGAGGCAGCAGUGGGGAAUAUUGGACAAUGGGCGAAAGCCUGAUCCAGCCAUGCCGCGUGUGUGAAGAAGGUCUUCGGAUUGUAAAGCACUUUAAGUUGGGAGGAAGGGCAGUAAGUUAAUACCUUGCUGUUUUGACGUUACCGACAGAAUAAGCACCGGCUAACUUCGUGCCAGCAGCCG